UCAGACUGCAGGCUGCAACUCGCCUGCACGAAGUCGGAAUUGCUAGUAAUCGUAGGUCAGCAUACUACGGUGAAUACGUUCCCGGGCCUUGUACACACCGCCCGUCAAACCAUGAGAGUUGGCAACACCCGAAGUCGGUAGUCUAACCGCAAGGAGGACGCCGCCGAAGGGUGGGGUUGAUGAUUAGGGUUAAGUCGUAACAAGGUACC
This 209-nucleotide ribosomal RNA is filed under the name uncultured bacterium. Its description in RNAcentral is "partial 16S ribosomal RNA". It matches the Rfam family "Bacterial small subunit ribosomal RNA", at positions 1293 to 1500 of the family's 1533-position model. The record is from RNAcentral.